AGAUAUCAGCGGGCUCAUAAUUUUUCUCACAACUUAUCAUAUCUCAGAGCUCGCUCUAACUCUAGCUGUUGACUGACAGGGAGGCGGGGCUUAAGGAAGAGCCAGAGACUAUUGUUGUGCAACAGGAGGAGAGCAGGUACUGUAUUGCCUGGCUUAUGCAGAAAGGGAUCCCACAGGGUAAGCAAAAUGCCAGAAGGUAUCUGCAGCCCAGUAGUUACCUCAGAGAUGGACCAGGAGUGUACUGGGGGCAUCUAGACAAGACUCAAGCUGAACAAGAGAAGAGGAGAGGAGCAGUCUAGAAUGAGGAACCAGGGUUCCAUGAUAUUGUCCCUGAUGAGGUUUGUUAACUCCAGUCCAGUUCACCUCCAGGAGCUCCAGAAUCAACCCAUGAGGAAGAACCUUGUGGACGCAGAAAGGCCUAACUGUGUGGUUCUAGAAAGUGGAUAUGUCAAGGUGCUGUAUGCAGAAGCAGAAGUCUUCAGUGCUCCUUCAUGUGUGUUUCCAAGAAGUGGGGACAUCAGUAUUCCCUUAGGGACUUCUCAGCAACUUCAACGGUCCUGUAAAAGUGUCAUAGGGGAAAGCAAGCAUAUAGAACAUUCUGGCAACUGUAGCAUGUUAAGAAGCCUGGAACAGGUUUUAUAUAAGAGAGAGA
RNAcentral lists this long non-coding RNA (652 nucleotides) under Mus spicilegus (steppe mouse). RNAcentral's name for it is "lncRNA (ENSMSIG00000020340.1)". The record is from RNAcentral. Lineage: Eukaryota; Metazoa; Chordata; Mammalia; Rodentia; Muridae.